AAGCGGAGGAAAAGAAACCAACAGGGAUUGCCUUAGUAACGGCGAGUGAAGCGGCAAAAGCUCAAAUUUGAAAUCUGGCACCUUCGGUGUCCGAGUUGUAAUUUGAAGAAGGUAACUUUGGAGUUGGCUCUUGUCUAUGUUCCUUGGAACAGGACGUCACAGAGGGUGAGAAUCCCGUGCGAUGAGAUGCCCAAUUCUAUGUAAAGUGCUUUCGAAGAGUCGAGUUGUUUGGGAAUGCAGCUCUAAGUGGGUGGUAAAUUCCAUCUAAAGCUAAAUAUUGGCGAGAGACCGAUAGCGAACAAGUACAGUGAUGGAAAGAUGAAAAGAACUUUGAAAAGAGAGUGAAAAAGUACGUGAAAUUGUUGAAAGGGAAGGGCUUGAGAUCAGACUUGGUAUUUUGCGAUCCUUUCCUUCUUGGUUGGGUUCCUCGCAGCUUACUGGGCCAGCAUCGGUUUGGAUGGUAGGAUAAUGACUAAGGAAUGUGGCUCUACUUCGGUGGAGUGUUAUAGCCUUGGUUGAUACUGCCUGUCUAGACCGAGGACUGCGUCUUUUGACUAGGAUGUUGGCAUAAUGAUCUUAAGCCACCCGUCUUG
Molecule: ribosomal RNA, 593 nt
Filed under: Debaryomyces hansenii
Lineage: Eukaryota; Fungi; Ascomycota; Pichiomycetes; Serinales; Debaryomycetaceae
Description: partial large subunit ribosomal RNA
Rfam family: Eukaryotic large subunit ribosomal RNA
Source: RNAcentral